RNAcentral lists this ribosomal RNA (404 nucleotides) under uncultured microorganism. Its description in RNAcentral is "bacterial SSU rRNA". It matches the Rfam family "Archaeal small subunit ribosomal RNA", at positions 330 to 735 of the family's 1478-position model. The record is from RNAcentral.
GUGCACCAGUCGAGAAAACUUCACACUACGCGAAAGCGCGAUGAGGGAAUCCCAAGUGCUUGCACGUAAGUGUAAGCUGUUUCCCUGUCUAAAAAGCAGAGAGAGUAAGGGCUGGGUAAGACGGGUGCCAGCCGCCGCGGUAAUACCUGCAGCUCAAGUGGUGGCCGCUAUUAUUGGGCCUAAAACGUCCGUAGCCGGUCUAGUAAAUGCCUGGGUAAAUCGUGAGGCUUAACCUUACGAAUUCCGGGUAGACUGCUAGACUUGAGACCGGGAGAGGCUAGAGGUACUCCUGGGGUAGAGGUGAAAUUCUGUAAUCCUAGGGGGACCACCAGUGGCGAAGGCGUCUAGCUAGAACGGGUCUGACGGUGAGGGACGAAGCCCUGGGGCGCAAACCGGAUUAGAUA